Molecule: ribosomal RNA, 462 nt
Filed under: uncultured Ascomycota
Lineage: Eukaryota; Fungi; Ascomycota
Description: eukaryotic LSU rRNA
Rfam family: 5.8S ribosomal RNA (bases 127-280)
Source: RNAcentral
GACCUGCGGAGGAUCAUUAUCAAAACCCCUCUGCGUACCUCUCCUGUUGCUUCCGCGGAGCAUUUUUUGCUGCGUGGGGUUGGUAACUUUGCUCUGGAUUCAAAGCUUCCAUCUGUCUGAAACCAAAACUUUCAGCAACGGAUCUCUUGGUUCUCGCAUCGAUGAAGAACGCAGCGAAAUGCGAUAAGUAGUGUGAAUUGCAGAAUUCAGUGAAUCAUCGAAUCUUUGAACGCACAUUGCGCCUUUCGGUAUUCCGGAGGGCAUGCCUGUUCGAGAGUCACUCCCUUUUAAAAAUUAAUUGAUUGGUUUUGGUUGCGUGCAUCACCACCUCACCACCGAAAUUCAGAGGCGGUUUGUCCCCACGGCGUUGUACUCAGACUAUUCGCUCGCAUCGUGGGUGCACUGCUUGUCCCCAUCCUCGGAUCAGGUAGGGAUACCCGCUGAACUUAAGCAUAUCAAUAA